Molecule: ribosomal RNA, 599 nt
Filed under: Zenopontonia rex
Lineage: Eukaryota; Metazoa; Arthropoda; Malacostraca; Decapoda; Palaemonidae
Description: partial 12S ribosomal RNA
Source: RNAcentral
UGUGCCAGCCAGCUGCGGUUAGACUGAGGAGAAAAUUAGAAAUGUUCGGGUUGUAGUUUGGUGUUUGCUUAGAAUUUGUUUUAUGUUUUAGUUGGAGGUGAAAUUUUUAACUAAAAAUAUAAAAUUAAUGUUGGAUAUACUGAAGCUAUUAAAUCUUAAUUAGAGACUGGGAUUAGAGACCCCAUUAUUUUAAAGAAGAGAACUUUAUACUUGAUUAAUAAUUGUUAUAUGCUUGAAAUUUAGAGAAUUUGGCGGUAUUCAAGUCUAGUUAGAGGAACCUGCUUCUUAAAACGAUAAACCACGAAGUAUCUUAUUUUUCUUUGUUUUCAGUUUGUAUACCUCCAUUAUUAGGUGUAAUUUAAAAAUUUUUACUUAAAUAUAGAAGUUCUAUAGUAUAUUAGGUCAAGGUGCAGCCUAUGGGAAAGUUGAUUGUGGGUUACAUUUUCUUAUAGACUUGAAAGAUAAAUUUAAAUUUUUUUCUGAAAUUGGAUUUAAUUGUAAUUUCUGUUUAAUAUGCAGAACUGAUAUUAGCUCUUGAAUAUGUACACAUCGCCCGUCGCUCUCAUAAUUAAGUUGAGAUAAGUCGUAACAAAGUAGGA